GUAGUCAUAUGCUUGUCUCAAAGAUUAAGCCAUGCAUGUCUAAGUAUAAGCAAUUAUAUCGUGAAACUGCGAAUGGCUCAUUAAAUCAGUUAUCGUUUAUUUGAUAGUACCUUACUACUUGGAUAACCGUGGUGAUUCUAGAGCUAAUACAUGCUGAAAACCCCAACUUCGGGAGGGGUGUAUUUAUUAGAUAAAAAACCAAUGCCCCUCGGGGCUUUUUGGUGAUUCAUGAUAACUUUACGGAUCGCAUAGCCUUGCGCUGGCGACGGUUCAUUCAAAUUUCUGCCCUAUCAACUUUCGAUGGUAAGGUAUUGGCUUACCAUGGUUUCAACGGGUAACGGGGAAU
Molecule: ribosomal RNA, 346 nt
Filed under: uncultured Phoma
Lineage: Eukaryota; Fungi; Ascomycota
Description: SSU rRNA
Rfam family: Eukaryotic small subunit ribosomal RNA
Source: RNAcentral